Molecule: long non-coding RNA, 342 nt
Organism: Polypterus senegalus (gray bichir)
Lineage: Eukaryota; Metazoa; Chordata; Cladistia; Polypteriformes; Polypteridae
Exons: 4
Source: RefSeq, a predicted model, not a curated record
CACCCACAGUCCGUAGAAAGAGAAGGAGAAGAGCUGCUGUACUUUUUUCUAAUUCAAAAAAGAAAAGGAGCUGAAAAUGUUUUCCAACACGGAACAAUGGCACAACAGAACCAGGGCCUUGCAAGUCAGAUGAAUAGCCAUGACUGUGGAAUUGUCAUGUAGAUGCAUACUGUCCCUAGUGGUUUUGAAGUUCCAGAAAUGCCUACCUUUCAAAAUCCAGAUAUUUUAAAUGUUUAGACUUUAUUGAGCCAUUAAUGAGAAGACAGAGUUAAAGACUUGAACUACUGUACAUCUGAAAUGAAAAAAAGUCUUGCUAUUCUACAAGGUGUGGCAGAAAAGUAA